AUUAGCGAUUAAAUGACACCAACGGGCUCCAUUACUUGUAAAGAUUAAAUGAAGGUAUCAGAGUGGGUAGUCGAUCACAGAGUAGGGGAGUUACGAAGUCGAGUCUUGGAUUAGGUACCUUUCUUCGUCGAGGAGGUCUAAAGCCUUUCCAUGCGCGGUCGUUUCGCCACCUGCAUCUCCCGUCAACCGCCCACCGGGUUUCCACGUUACAGGCCCGACCGAUCACCUCGACGUCUCUUUCCCCCACCGACGAUCGCGGCCUCAUACUGCCGCUUGUAAAUGCUGUUUCCACGCACUUCCUCCUCCAAUCCCUUCCUCCUUCCUCUAUCUCUCUGCCUUCAGAUGGCCG
This 349-nucleotide long non-coding RNA is filed under the name Musa acuminata (dwarf banana). RNAcentral describes it as "long non-coding RNA (MACU_LNC001178)". Lineage: Eukaryota; Viridiplantae; Streptophyta; Magnoliopsida; Zingiberales; Musaceae. The record is from RNAcentral.